UUGACCACUUCUUAGCAGCAAUGAAUACCUGCAGAUGUGCACGAUAUUGGGCCCACUAAUGGUCCAUCAUGGAAGGGGAGGCUUAUGGAGACCCACUACUCUUUAAGGAUAGUGUUUCUUGUAGGAGGACUUGUUUUUAGUGGGGUUCCAUAUCUGAGACCUGUUCACAUCUACCCAGGAAUAGUUCAUACAACAACUAAUGUCACUGUGUCUGUUCAGUCUGAAAGAAUCUUGAGAAUCUGGCAAAAUUAAUGGAACCUCCCCAAGAAAAACAACACUGUAAUGGAUUGAAUAAUGGCUUCCCAAAAGGUGUAUUCACAGCAUAAUCACCAGAAUCUGUGAACAUGAUGUAACUGGGGAAAAAAAGCCUUCACAGAUGUCAUCAAUUCUGAAUCUUAAAAUGAGGAGAUCGUCUUGGUUUUUCCAGGUGGGUUCUAAAGCAAGCAGCAAGUGUCCUUAAUCACAUAGUUAAAGCAGACAUGGAGGAGGCAAUGAAGGAAGAGGCCGAGAUGGAACUGAUAAAGCUACAGAUCAAGAAAUGCUGGCAGCCACCACAAGCUGGAAGAGGCAAGGAACAUAAAUGCUCCCUGAGAGACCUUGACUCCGCUAGAACCUUGCUUUGGAUUUUGGUGUUCAAUCCUGUGGGAGAAAAGCAUCUCCAUUUUUACAAGUCACCGACUUAGUGGUCAAGUUUAGAAUUACAGUAAACUAACAGAAGCCCAACAGACAUUCUACAAUGUGUGGAUUUCAGUCAGUAUGGAGCCCAGGUAGAGAAGAAACAUUGCUCUAAUCCUCUCUUAUCACUCAGUAAUCUGGAACCAGAGAGAGGCUCAGAUGAAGCCAUAGUUAGAUUUUGACUUUGUGGAAGGAGGGAUGCUGAUCGCACCCUAGAGAAACUAGUGAGAUGAAAAAUAGCUGGAUCUCAGGCAGUGCAUAUCUACUAGCUGAGCCUUGUAAAUCAAGGGGGUAGGGCUAAAAAUUUCUCCCUGCCCUCCAUCAGCUUGGGAGUCCUUCCUGCUUCCUCAAGAGCCCUACUUUUCCUUACUCAAAGAUUUAUAAAGUAGAAAACAUAGUCACCUUGAAAAAAAUUUAAAGGGAACAUUUAAAAACAUAAACAAGCCUUACAGAAGGGUAGUGGGCACACAAGUGAACAAGUGGAUUAAAAGUUUGGAAACAUGACUUAAAAGAUCAACUGUACAGAGAUCUUUCUCAGAAAAAUAAAGUAAGUGAGAUUGAGUAAGAGCACCACCAUGGUAAACACCAAGCUUGAAGCUAGGUCUAGACAAAGUCUCUGUUCUGCCAACUUGGGAAUCUGGAGAUGCUAUUAUUUGGGUCCUGAUGUGGGUUGAAUUGUGUUCCUUACAAAGAUAUGUUGAAGCAUUAAAUCCCAGUACCUGUGAUAUUAACUCAUUUGGAAAUAGGAACUUUCAGGUCAUUAACUCAAGAUGAAGUCAUUGCAGUGAUCCCCUCACCUAAAUAUGGCUGCUGUACUUCUUAGAUGAUAUGACAGAACUCCAAAGGGGAGAAAACCAUAUGGAGACGGAGACAUCCGGAAGGCAGAUGGUCAUGGGAUAAUACAGGCAGAUGGAGUAAUGGUACCACAAGUCAAAGAACACCUGGGGCUACCAGAAGCUGGAAAAUUCAAGGAAGAGUUCUCUUCUAGAAGCUCCAGUGCAAGCCUGGUCCUGACAGCAGCUGGCGUUUGAACUUCUGGCCUGAAAAACUGUGAGAUAGUAUCUUUUGAUUAUUUUAAACCAGAUAGUCUGUUCUUUUGUUACAGCACGUCUAGAAAAUGAAAAAACUGUUUGGGCUUUGCAUAAGACAUUAAGUGAACGACUAAUAGCCAUACACUAUUCUAGACCCUGAGGAAAUUCCAAGACAAAACGGGCCCUUUUCUUCCUCCCAAGCAGGAUUCAGUUUUCUAUAAUGAGAUAGGAAAUUCCUAAGGAUCUACAGAUUCUUUUUCCCAACCACUGACUUUCCAACUCCAUCUAUAUUUUUUACUAGUUCAUAUAUGUAGAAUGUAUAGAUAUCCUAAAGGCCUGAUUUCACCUGGUAUUUCUGACUAUUUCACAUUUAUCCAGAAAUGUCAUUCAUUCAUCUCCUUCUCUAUCUGAGAUGACAAAGAUGGACAGCUUUCAUUUUCUUCCCUAUCUUUGUGUUUCCUGGUAAAUUAAUUCAUAUUUUCAAUAACAUCUCCUCUGCUCUAAAAUGAAGAGCUCCACAUAUGCUUUGUGAAACUCAGUACAGGAACCACACCGUGGCACUGUUUCAUUCCCAGAAUUUAAUAAAAUGCACAUUUUAUUUUAUGUCACAAUAUAAAGCAUUCACCUCAUGGUUUAUGGUCUGGUGUGGUGUGUGUGUGAGUGUGUGUGUGUGUGUGUGUGUGUGUGUGUGUGUGUGUGUGUGUGUGAUGCACAUGUAAGGCCAAUUAAAUGUUAAUCUCAGGACUUGGAACAUAGUUCAAUGGUAAAGCACUUGCCUAGCAUAUGGGAGGUCCCAAUUUUGAUCUCCAGGAACGCACGUACAAUCAACCUUAGUAACAGAAACUAGGUCUUAUGCUUUAGAUCCUUGCUGCCACGUGGUAAAGACCUUAGCAAAUUACAAAAUAGGAUCUAAUUGUUUUUAUUUCAUUCCCAUAUUCAUGAUUACAGAGAAUUAUUUUUUGUGUGUGGCUUUGAGGAUGAAACCCAGGGCCUUGAAUAUGCUAAGCAGGAGCUCUACCACUGUGCUCUAUUCCCAGUCCAAGACCUCAUUUUCUGUUAUGUUCUGCCUUUUCUCCUCUUCCUAUCACUGUAAGGUACUUUGCUCUCUGAUUCUUGUCACAUUCUUGCUUUCAUUAGUAUGAAAAUUUAGCUUGGGAGUACUAACUAAUAAAAAGUAUAUGACCUUGAAGUAUGACCCCUUGAAAUAGCAGAUACGUGUGUGGCACCAUGCCCUCUUUGCUUUUUUGUUCUAUUUUGUGUUUUGCACCAGUGUCUCACUAAGUAAUAUAGGCUGGUCUAGAACUUCCUACCUAGCGUGAGUUGGCAGUGUACUUGUAGAAGUCCUGGCUCAGCACCCCUAGCAUUGUACACAUGUAUCACUAUGCUUAACCAGCAGUUGGAGAAGUCUCUGAGAUCAAAAAGCCCUUAACACAACCAUAGCAUAUAUACAGAGGACCUAGUACAGUCCCAUGCAAGGUCCCUGCUAUCACUUCAGUAUCAAUGAGCCCCUAUGAGCUCUGCUUAGUUGAUUCUAUGGGCCAUGUUCUUGUGGUGUCUUCAACUCCUCUGGCUCAUAUACUCUUUCCUCCCCCUUUUCCAUGAGAUUCCCUGAGCUUUCUUGUGGGAUCCCUAACAGUGGGAGUAGGGGGUGUCUCUGACUCUUUUGCCUAGUCUUGAGACCCUUUUGCUCCUAUUGGGUUGCCACAUCCAGCCUUAAUAUAAAGAUUUGUGCCUAGUCUGAUUGUAACUUGUUAUGCUAUGUUAAGUUGGUAUCCUUGGGAGGCCUGCUCUUUUCUGAAGGGAAACAGCAGGAGGAGUGGAUCUGGAGGAGAA
Peromyscus eremicus (cactus mouse) is the source of this 3539-nucleotide long non-coding RNA. RefSeq lists it as uncharacterized. The transcript has 3 exons. The record is from RefSeq and is a predicted model, not a curated record. Lineage: Eukaryota; Metazoa; Chordata; Mammalia; Rodentia; Cricetidae.